Molecule: non-coding RNA, 1075 nt
Organism: Paramuricea clavata
Lineage: Eukaryota; Metazoa; Cnidaria; Anthozoa; Malacalcyonacea; Plexauridae
Source: the annotation of a GenBank genome assembly
AGGGUGAUUAUUACUCCACAGACUGGAGUUCUCCUUCAAAAACGAGUGAAGACACAGGUAUGUAUGUGCCAUGUCUUCCAGUCUGCUUUCUCAAAAUGUAUCUUAAUAUCAAAAAUAUAUUUUCACUCGCUAGUCUGGUGGAGAUAAACAAAAUGCGUUUGGAUCUAGCUUGCGCCGUAGACCUCCAGCAGAAACACGGUUUCGCCGUAGGCUAUCAUGCAUAUUGUUAAACCACAGAUCAACGAGCGAAAACCACUUGCAAAGUGUUAAUGCAUAGCAAUCUUCUCAAUCAUUUCAAGUUUCAGGUCAAGGUUCAGGCACGGCCGAAAAUGAUGAUGGUUAUGAAAAAUAUCUUAUUGGAAUUAUAGUAUUAGCAAUUCUACUGGUCAGUUCAUUCGUUGUUACUGCUUAUUUUAUCUAUCAAAAUCGUCGACUCAAAUUAUCAAACACUAAAGCAAACGUGGUAACCACUAAUGAUGAAAUUCAUUCAAGACACAUUUAUGAUAUUCCUUUCAACAAUUGUGAACAAGUAGAUGAUGAACAGUCGACGUAUACAGCUCUCAAAAGACCUGGUCCUGAGGAAGUAAAUGAUGAUCAUUUAUAUGGUCAUCUAAUUAAUUAAGUACUGCAAAAUGGAUACGCAAAUCAGGGAGAAACUUGGAUUUAAUCAUGUCUUAUUAAUCCAUAGUUAAAGGACAUUGUUAGUAAACAUUUAUUUUGACUCAUUUGAAAGAACUUUUAAAAAAUUAAUAAAUACAUUUUACGGGUUUUUCAUAGCUUAAUUCCUUAAAAAUAUUGAUUGAAAACACUCGGCUGUCCGCCAUCUUGGAUUAUUCAGGAUUUGAGUGUUGGUGAGGUCACGCAGACUUUAACUUGACAGCCAGUCUGCCAGUGAUUAAUAUGAACUAUGCAAACACUAGAACUUGGUUGCUAUUUUAAAUUUCGAAUUGAAAAGGCUAACCCAUCUUUGACGUCAUCAAAACCAUAGUUAAUAAUGAGGUUAAGAAUUAAUCCAAGAUGGCGGACAGCUAAUUGUUGUAAGUCAAAAUAUUCCAAUACUUAAGUUGGAUAUAAA